Molecule: long non-coding RNA, 1011 nt
Organism: Gekko japonicus
Lineage: Eukaryota; Metazoa; Chordata; Lepidosauria; Squamata; Gekkonidae
Exons: 2
Source: RefSeq, a predicted model, not a curated record
CUGAGCAAGUCUCUUGCGAUUGCUCCUGUCUUCUGCUUCUCUCUUCCUUCUUCUGGUCCACUUCCUGCUCCACAAGAUGCCCUGUGGGUGCCCCACAGUCCACAGUGUUCCAGUCUGUGGUCGCCCAGUUGAAGUAAUGAGUCCAUGUGGCUCACCCUGUGGCCCCGUCAGAACACCAGCGACUGCCUGUGGCGUACUUCCUGGAGCGAAUGUUUCAUGUGUUGGUCAGCUGCCGCCAUCAGAAGUAGUGAUAGUACAGCCUCCCAUUUCUACAGUUGUCCCAGGACGAGCUCUUGGCGGACCCUGCGGCCGUGUCCAUAUGGGAGGGCGCACUUCUUGUCGCCAUCCUGCAGGCGUUUGCUGUAUCCCUGUCUCUAGAUGCAGAUCGUGUAUGUGAAAGGAAAGUUCAUGUGAACGUGAACCACCACUGGCAAUUGAUUUAUUUGAUAUGGGUACACAGCUGAUCGUCUCAUUGGCCUGAGAGUUUGUAAAGUCCCGGCAACUCCAAUCGGAAACAAAAAUAACAGGAUUUCUGGAUGCUUGUCUUUUUCUUAAGUAUAUAUAUAUAUUAAAAAAAAACAAGAACUCACAGAGACAAAAAACAACAACCACCCAGUCAUUAAUGCAUGAAACGACAGUCUAAUUGAAAUAAAGGACUGUAACAAUCACAUGUCAAUGAGCAUGAACAUUCUAAGCCAUUAUGAAGAUUCCACAAGAAAUUACAAGUAUAUUUAACACAAUAUGAACUACAGACUCUACAGAGUAUGAAGCUGACAAGGGCAAUGUAGCCGAAUAGGAUGCUAUCUGAUGAUCAUGAGUUUUAAAGGAGAGGAUAAAUAAGCCAACUCCAUCUAUUAUUCUCUUCUCUAAAUCUUAAGAAGGCACACUGAAGGCAUCUGAAAUGUCACUGCAGUUGUCCACCUCUUCACUCAACGGCAAUGCGGCCAAUGAUAGGAGCCCUUUCAGAACAAAAUCUUUGUCAAGAAGCAUAUUCUCCCCAAGACAGUAAAA